Thelephora terrestris is the source of this 71-nucleotide non-coding RNA. The record is from the annotation of a GenBank genome assembly. Lineage: Eukaryota; Fungi; Basidiomycota; Agaricomycetes; Thelephorales; Thelephoraceae.
GCAUUGAUGGUGUAAUGGUAACAUCGUACCUUCCCAAGGUAUGGCCCCGGGUUCGAUUCCCGGUCAAUGCA